Molecule: ribosomal RNA, 425 nt
Filed under: uncultured bacterium
Lineage: Bacteria
Description: bacterial SSU rRNA
Rfam family: Bacterial small subunit ribosomal RNA
Source: RNAcentral
GGGGAAUAUUGGACAAUGGGCGAAAGCCUGAUCCAGCCAUGCCGCGUGUGUGAAGAAGGUCUUCGGAUUGUAAAGCACUUUAAGUUGGGAGGAAGGGCAGUAAGUUAAUACCUUGCUGUUUUGACGUUACCAACAGAAUAAGCACCGGCUAACUUCGUGCCAGCAGCCGCGGUAAUACGAAGGGUGCAAGCGUUAAUCGGAAUUACUGGGCGUAAAGCGCGCGUAGGUGGUUCAGCAAGUUGGAUGUGAAAUCCCCGGGCUCAACCUGGGAACUGCAUCCAAAACUACUGAGCUAGAGUACGGUAGAGGGUGGUGGAAUUUCCUGUGUAGCGGUGAAAUGCGUAGAUAUAGGAAGGAACACCAGUGGCGAAGGCGACCACCUGGACUGAUACUGACACUGAGGUGCGAAAGCGUGGGGAGCAAAC